CGGGACACGUGGUAUCCUGUCUGAAUAUGGGGGGACCAUCCUCCAAGGCUAAAUACUCCUGACUGACCGAUAGUGAACCAGUACCGUGAGGGAAAGGCGAAAAGAACCCCGGCGAGGGGAGUGAAAAAGAACCUGAAACCGUGUACGUACAAGCAGUGGGAGCCUCUUUAUGGGGUGACUGCGUACCUUUUGUAUAAUGGGUCAGCGACUUAUAUUCUGUAGCAAGGUUAACCGAAUAGGGGAGCCGAAGGGAAACCGAGUCUUAACUGGGCGUUAAGUUGCAGGGUAUAGACCCGAAACCCGGUGAUCUAGCCAUGGGCAGGUUGAAGGUUGGGUAACACUAACUGGAGGACCGAACCGACUAAUGUUGAAAAAUUAGCGGAUGACUUGUGGCUGGGGGUGAAAGGCCAAUCAAACCGGGAGAUAGCUGGUUCUCCCCGAAAGCUAUUUAGGUAGCGCCUCGUGAAUUCAUCUCCGGGGGUAGAGCACUGUUUCGGCAAGGGGGUCAUCCCGACUUACCAACCCGAUGCAAACUGCGAAUACCGGAGAAUGUUAUCACGGGAGACACACGGCGGGUGCUAACGUCCGUCGUGAAGAGGGAAACAACCCAGACCGCCAGCUAAGGUCCCAAAGUCAUGGUUAAGUGGGAAACGAUGUGGGAAGGCCCAGACAGCCAGGAUGUUGGCUUAGAAGCAGCCAUCAUUUAAAGAAAGCGUAAUAGCUCACUGGUCGAGUCGGCCUGCGCGGAAGAUGUAACGGGGCUAAACCAUGCACCGAAGCUGCGGCAGCGACGCAUAUGCGUUGUUGGGUAGGGGAGCGUUCUGUAAGCCUGUGAAGGUGUACUGUGAGGUAUGCUGGAGGUAUCAGAAGUGCGAAUGCUGACAUAAGUAACGAUAAAGCGGGUGAAAAGCCCGCUCGCCGGAAGACCAAGGGUUCCUGUCCAACGUUAAUCGGGGCAGGGUGAGUCGACCCCUAAGGCGAGGCCGAAAGGCGUAGUCGAUGGGAAACAGGUUAAUAUUCCUGUACUUGGUGUUACUGCGAAGGGGGGACGGAGAAGGCUAUGUUGGCCGGGCGACGGUUGUCCCGGUUUAAGCGUGUAGGCUGGUUUUCCAGGCAAAUCCGGAAAAUCAAGGCUGAGGCGUGAUGACGAGGCACUACGGUGCUGAAGCAACAAAUGCCCUGCUUCCAGGAAAAGCCUCUAAGCAUCAGGUAACAUCAAAUCGUACCCCAAACCGACACAGGUGGUCAGGUAGAGAAUACCAAGGCGCUUGAGAGAACUCGGGUGAAGGAACUAGGCAAAAUGGUGCCGUAACUUCGGGAGAAGG
RNAcentral lists this ribosomal RNA (1325 nucleotides) under Escherichia coli. Its description in RNAcentral is "bacterial LSU rRNA". It matches the Rfam family "Bacterial large subunit ribosomal RNA", at positions 418 to 1746 of the family's 2925-position model. Lineage: Bacteria; Pseudomonadati; Pseudomonadota; Gammaproteobacteria; Enterobacterales; Enterobacteriaceae. The record is from RNAcentral.